This 119-nucleotide ribosomal RNA is filed under the name Pteropus alecto (black flying fox). Lineage: Eukaryota; Metazoa; Chordata; Mammalia; Chiroptera; Pteropodidae. The record is from RNAcentral.
GUCUAUGGUCAUGCUACCCUGAACAAGCCCGAUCCUGUCCGAUGUCGGAAGCUAAGCAGGGUUGGGGAUGGUUACUAAUUGGAUGGGAGACCGCCUAGGAAGACCAGGUGCUAUAGGCA